CUGUGAAGGUGUCGGGGUUAAGUCCCUUAACCGAGCGAAACCCCUAUCACUAGUUGCCAGCGAGUCAUGUCGGGGACUCUAGUGAGACUGCCGGUGUCAAACCGGAGGAAGGUGGGGAUGACGUCAAGUCCUCAUGGCCCUUAUGCCCAGGGCUGCACACGUGCUACAAUGGCGUAUACAAAGCGACGCGAGACCGCAAGGUGGAGCAAAUCGCAUAAAGUACGCCCCAGUUCGGAUUGUGGUUCUGCAACUCGACCACAUGAAGUUGGAAUCGCUAGUAAUCGCGCAUCAGCUACGGCGCGGUGAAUGUGUUCCUGAGCCUU
This 323-nucleotide ribosomal RNA is filed under the name uncultured Phycisphaera sp. Its description in RNAcentral is "bacterial SSU rRNA". It matches the Rfam family "Bacterial small subunit ribosomal RNA", at positions 1065 to 1382 of the family's 1533-position model. Lineage: Bacteria; Pseudomonadati; Planctomycetota; Phycisphaerae; Phycisphaerales; Phycisphaeraceae. The record is from RNAcentral.